This 395-nucleotide unclassified non-coding RNA is filed under the name soil metagenome. RNAcentral's name for it is "partial contains 5.8S ribosomal RNA, internal transcribed spacer 2, and large subunit ribosomal RNA". The stretch from base 1 to 122 matches the Rfam family "5.8S ribosomal RNA", at positions 35 to 154 of the family's 154-position model. The record is from RNAcentral.
GAUGAAGAACGCAGCGAAAUGUGAUACUUGGUGUGAAUUGCAGAAUCCCGUGAACCAUCGAGUCUUUGAACGCAAGUUGCGCCCGAAGCCAUCAGGUUGAGGGCACGUCUGCCUGGGCGUCACAUAUCGUUGCCCAAUGCCUAUUGCAGUGCAAUAGGAAUUUCUAGGGCGAAUGAUGGCUUCCCGUGAGCGUUGUUGCCUCGCGGUUGGUUGAAAAUCGAGUCCUUGGUAGGGUGUGCCAUGGUAGAUGGUGGUCGAGUUAGAACGAUACCGAUCAUGUGCAUGCUCCCCAAAAUAUGGCCUCUAUGACCCACACGCGUCUUUUGACGCUCAUGACGAGACCUCAGGUCAGGCGGGGCUACCCGCUGAAUUUAAGCAUAUCAAUAAGCGGAGGA